CCUACGGGAGGCAGCAGUGGGGGAUAUUGCACAAUGGGGGGAACCCUGAUGCAGCGAAGCCGCGUGGGUGAAGGAGUGCUUCGGCAGGUAAAGCCCUAUCGGCAGGGAAGAAGCAAGACGGUACCUGACUAAGAAGACCCGGCUAACUACGUGCCAGCAGCCGCGGUAAUACGUAGGGGGCGAGCGUUAUCCGGGUUCACUGGGGGUAACGGGAGCGGAGACAGCACGGCCAGCCAGGGGGGAAAGCCCGUGGCCCAACCCCGGGACUGCCCUUGGAACUGCAUGGCUGGAGUGCGGGAGGGGCAGGCGGAAUUCCUGGUGUAGCGGUGAAAUGCGUAGAUAUCAGGAGGAACACCGGCGGCGAAGGCGGCCUGCUGGACCGCGACUGACGUUGAGGCUCGAAAGCGUGGGGAGCGAACAGGAUUAGAUACCCUGGUAGUC
Molecule: ribosomal RNA, 441 nt
Filed under: uncultured bacterium
Lineage: Bacteria
Description: partial 16S ribosomal RNA
Rfam family: Bacterial small subunit ribosomal RNA
Source: RNAcentral